Molecule: non-coding RNA, 82 nt
Organism: Hamiltosporidium tvaerminnensis
Lineage: Eukaryota; Fungi; Microsporidia; Dubosqiidae
Source: the annotation of a GenBank genome assembly
GACGUUGUGGCGGAGUGGUUAACGCGGUAGUCUGCUAAACUAUUGUCCUCUGGGCGCCCGAGUUCGAAUCUCGGCAACGUCG